GCUGGGCAACGCAUCCCCUGCUGCCUCUUCUCCACCUCCGACGCCCCCCGCCCCAACCCACCCAUGGCCUCCACCGCCGACCCCCGUCCGCCGUGGCCUCCUCCUCUCACUACCACUCCGUGGACCUUCCACGUCAUCUCCCGUCUCCGCCGCCCACCGACUUGGCCUCGGUCGUCUCCAGCGCCGCCGCCGCUUCCUGGAGCGGCCCUCCUGUUCGUCGUCCUCCCUCGGGUCCGCCGCGAGCAGCGGCCCUCCAUUUCGUUCGCCCGCCCAUCCCCUGCCUGGGCCCGCCACCACCUUCCAAUCCCCCCCUGCGCAGAUCUGGGGCUGAAGAGGAACAACGAGAUGGGGAUCUGCUUCUUGGUGGAUAAACUGCGAAGCCUGCGCGGGCAGAUGGCCGUUAUGGUGGCUGGCCCCUUAUUGCCUGUGCUUGCCGUUGCUUUUCUCGUCUAAUUGCUGUCGUGCAGUGUGAUGUUGCUUGUGCUUGGGUGCUGCUUCUAGCUACAGGCUACUGCUGGCGCGAGCUGCUGCUGCUUUUGUUGCCUCUGCUAGUGUUUGCCGUGAUUCCUGCUCCUGAUAGCUGCUAGUGCUUGUCAAGAUUUGUUAUAGGAUGUCAACUUGUGAUUGUGAUUGUUGUUUAUUUCUGGCUGCUCUUUGUCUACGCUCCAUGAAAAUUGUUCCUAGCUGCUCCCCCACCCUUGCAUGUUUCCUCCCAGACAUGAUUUGUAUAGUUGUAAGUUGAUGUAGAUUAAGAGCCAAUAUAUUGGAUUUGGUGACAUAAAAGGUGACUGAAAUUUUGGUAUCUCAAGGAAUACAACGACAGCUAGUACAUGACAUAUCGGCUGAACAUCGAGAAAUGGCACUUCCUUUUCUAAUUAGUUGCACAAAUUCAGGAAUACAAGUACAAUGCUGCUAAUGUGCAAUUGCAACUGCUCUCAGUUUUGGCAUCUCUAGGUAUUUUUGGGUAGCGGCAGUCUUUGUUCUUGUUCUUGCGUAUCCUUAAGUAUUGCUUGCUCUUUGAAUAUUGCUAAUAGAUAUCUAUUCUGGACGUACGAAGUUGCAUUCAACUUGUGCAUUAUUUUGCAGUGCAUGUCACUUUUAUUGCGACCAUAUAUCACACACCAUUGUAGAUGAAUAAACAAGGCAGCUGAAAAGUAAAUUGCAUAACCUGAUAACCCUAAUUUAUAUACUGCUUUGCAAUUUUAUUUGAAUAUUGUGCAAAGCAUAUUUUCUUGUCUCGAAUUCAUCAUGUCAUUUUUCGCAGGCCCUAUAGCUGGUUUCUGUUGGGCUUGGGAUAUCUGACUUGAUUAUAUUUAUUUAGCCCGUUAUAAAUUGUUCAAUCUGUAUCUGGUGUUCUUAAGGUAGUAUAUCUGGUUUUUGUUGGGGUACCUAACUUUCUUUGUUUUUUCUGUAAUAUGACGGUUCUUCCUCUGAUGCAAGCUUAAACAUGGCGGUGCUACUGUGGUGCCAUGUCUGCCUUGUUCUCUAGGGUACUAAGGACCCCUUUUGGAGUUUUUCCCUCCAUGUGCCAUCAGCCUGCUUGCUGCCAUAGUGAUAAUUCGAUAUCUCAAGGAAUACAUUGACAGCUAGUAGAUGAUAUAUCACCUGAACAUCUACUACUACUAUCGGCAUGCCUGGCUCACUAGUGAUUAGGAGCCAUGCUUGCUGCCUCCGCACGCCGGAUUGCUGCUGAUCCCAUCACUGGGGAAGGCCUCAUCUGCUUCCUGUCGCUUACAACCCGUACCUGCAGUCGUUCACGCAAGGCACCAGCCAGAAAUGGUGUCAAACAACUUAAUACAGCUAUUUGGAUGUUUCUGUUUUUUUUUUGCGGGGUUGGACGUUUCUGUUCUAGUUGAUCAGAAGAUAAAUGACUGGCUUGUGGCUUUGAUCUGAAGUCUAUUUGUUAAUGCCUGGAAAGAGCAUGGCACCGCAGGGUAGCUAUACUGCUUGGGCUGUGGUUACAAGUAGAACACGAAAACAAAUAUGGUUUCGUUUGUGCUAAAAAGCUAUUAGUCACCUCUUCAUCUUCAUUUCUUUUCAAGCUGCAUGAUUGUACGUACUGAAACACCAAUAGUCCAAGACUAUAUUCCCUAUUAUCUUGGUAUGGGCAUCAAAAUCUCUAUAGAAAGUUGUUGGAGGGUAAUAAUGCGAUUGAUUAACUGUGGGCAGUAGGGGCUCUCUACUUGGUCUAUGGAGACAGGAAACGAUAAUGACUGUUGAAUUUACAGUACCUUGAUGUUGAAUUUACAAGAUGCUGAUGUUGGAUUUACUGUCUUGUAGCUUUUGUAAUUUACAGUAGCUCCACAAAGUUUGUGACUGUUGUUUGUACAGUGAGCUGAUAUUGAAUGCUUGAUCACAUGAAUUAGUCUGAAUGCAUAUUUACAGUACUCUUAUGUUGAAUUUAUAGUAUGCUGAUGGUGGAUUUACUGUCCUAUAUAUUCUGUAAUUUAUAGUAGCUCCAUAUAGUGCCAUUGCUGUUUGUACAGUUAGUUGAUAUAGAAUGCUUGAUCACAUGAAUUUGUAUGAAUGUAUAUUACAGUUUCCUGAUGUUUAAUUUAUAAUACAUUGAUGAUGGAUUUACGGUCCUAUAGCUUCUGUAAAUUUCAGUAGUUCCUAAAAGUUUGUGACUGCUGUUUUUUACAGUGAGCUGAUAGUGAAUUUUCCAGAGGCCACCUCUUUCUGAGAACACCAUCACUACGUUGCACUCUGAUUUUGCUCUAACUGUUGUCCUCCUAAUAGGCAUUAUACUUUUGCUUUCUACUUCUUUUGUUUUGCCAUGUUUGUUACACUUCAUCGUGAUUCUUGUAUAUUAGUGUUUUUCUUCUUGUUUGUUGUUCUCGAUGCUGCAACGGUAGUGACUGAAAAUCCAGCAACAUUCGAAUAAAAGUUGAAGAAUUCCUGUCCUUCUUCUCUUGUCUUGAACUCCAUGCCAGGUGCGGCUUUAUAAUGCUCUCAGUGUUCAUGACAUUUCCUUCUUGUGCUGCAGUAUUUUUAUUUUCCAAGAAAUUCUCAAUAACCUCUUCAUUUAAAUACUCAUCUUCCUUUUCAGUCUGCUAUAACUGAUGGUUAUCUAUGCUAUUCUCAGCUUCAUUAUUACUCUCUGCGUGCUCCAAUGUGGCACAUUGUCUGAAGUGUAUGAAUUUCCGUGUAACAUGAUGGAUCCUUCAUCUUCAGCUACCUAUAACAAGUGUUGUCAAAAAGUCCUACAUCCCAGGGAUUUGAAGAAGCUGGAUCAAUACUCGCUUCAUCUCCUUGUGUUAGUUGCAGGACCUGCAAACAUGGUAGAAGGAAUUCUUCGUCAUUCUGAGUUGCAUGCCCAUCUCAACUUACUAAGGCAGGCAGCAUAUAACCCUGCUCCUCCAGUGUGCAUUGGCAGCAAGAAAGAAAGUAGGUUUCUAGCGAGGUAUUUUCAUGAGUUUCUUCCACAAGUAUCAACUUGAGAUCUUUGAUGAUGCCAUGAGAAUUUUGGGUUCUCUUCCAAAAGUGUGUGAAGAAGAACAAAACUGUCAAUAAUCUAGAGAAGGUUGUGAGUAGUGACCUGGCAGUGUUGCCUUUUGGGCCCUUGCGUUGAUUGCUCAUGGAUCAUAGAGCGCACAGGUCAUACAAACACGUGUCACAUUUGUAGUGCAUGAUAAAAUUGAUUGAAUGUCUCUUUAUUUUGAGUCAAAGUUUUUGCCCGUUGGACAUGUGACAUACAGACAGAUAGGAGUCAGAUUGUUACUGGUUGGCAUAUUUGAUUGAAGGCCAGUUCAAUUUCAGUGAAUUGUAAUAUAGACACGUUUUUUUUACUUAAUACA
Molecule: RNA transcript, 3797 nt
Organism: Triticum aestivum (bread wheat)
Lineage: Eukaryota; Viridiplantae; Streptophyta; Magnoliopsida; Poales; Poaceae
Exons: 4
Source: RefSeq, a predicted model, not a curated record